Molecule: ribosomal RNA, 490 nt
Filed under: uncultured bacterium
Lineage: Bacteria
Description: partial 16S ribosomal RNA
Rfam family: Bacterial small subunit ribosomal RNA
Source: RNAcentral
CUUGAACGCUGGCGGCAGGCCUAACACAUGCAAGUCGAGCGGCAGCGGAAAGUAGCUUGCUCCUUUGCCGGCGAGCGGCGGACGGGUGAGUAAUGUCUGGGAAACUGCCUGAUGGAGGGGGAUAACUACUGGAAACGGUAGCUAAUACCGCAUAACGUCGCAAGACCAAAGAGGGGGACCUUCGGGCCUCUUGCCAUCAGAUGUGCCCAGAUGGGAUUAGCUAGUAGGUGGGGUAACGGCUCACCUAGGCGACGAUCCCUAGCUGGUCUGAGAGGAUGACCAGCCACACUGGAACUGAGACACGGUCCAGACUCCUACGGGAGGCAGCAGUGGGGAAUAUUGCACAAUGGGCGCAAGCCUGAUGCAGCCAUGCCGCGUGUAUGAAGAAGGCCUUCGGGUUGUAAAGUACUUUCAGCGGGGAGGAAGGUGUUGAGGUUAAUAACCUCAGCAAUUGACGUUACCCGCAGAAGAAGCACCGGCUAACUCCGUG